GGUACCGUCAAUGUAUUACCCUGUUAGAAUAAUACAAUUUCUUCCCUGUCGACAGAGCUUUACGACCCAAGGGCCUUCUUCACUCACGCGGCGUUGCUGCGUCAGGGUUUCCCCCAUUGCGCAAAAUUCCUCA
RNAcentral lists this ribosomal RNA (133 nucleotides) under uncultured bacterium. RNAcentral describes it as "partial 16S ribosomal RNA". The record is from RNAcentral.